This 328-nucleotide ribosomal RNA is filed under the name uncultured bacterium. RNAcentral describes it as "bacterial SSU rRNA". It matches the Rfam family "Bacterial small subunit ribosomal RNA", at positions 162 to 507 of the family's 1533-position model. The record is from RNAcentral.
GCUAAUACCGCAUACGUCCUACGGGAGAAAGCGGGGGAUCUUCGGACCUCGNGCCAUUAGAUGAGCCUAGGUCGGAUUAGCUUGUUGGUAAGUAACGGCUUACCAAGGCAACGAUGGGUAGGGGUCCUGAGAGGGAGAUCCCCCACACUGGGUACUGAGACACGGACCAGACUCCUACGGGAGGCAGCAGUGGGGAAUAUUGGACAAUGGGGCCGAAAGCCUGAUCCAGCAAUGCCGCGUGAGUGAUGAAGGCCUUAGGGGUUGUAAAGCUCUUUUACCCGAGAUGAUAAUGACAGUAUCGGGAGAAUAAGCUCCGGCUAACUCCGUG